GAUGAACGCUAGCGGGAGGCCUAACACAUGCGAGCCGAGCGGUAGAGAUUCUUCGGGAUCUUGAGAGCGGCGUACGGGUGCGGAACACGUGUGCAACCUGCCUUUAUCAGGGGGAUAGCCUUUCGAAAGGAAGAUUAAUACCCCAUAAUAUAUUGAUUGGCAUCAAUUAAUAUUGAAAACUCCGGUGGAUAGAGAUGGGCACGCGCAAGAUUAGAUAGUUGGUAGGGUAACGGCCUACCAAGUCAAUGAUCUUUAGGGGGCCUGAGAGGGUGAUCCCCCACACUGGUACUGAGACACGGACCAGACUCCUACGGGAGGCAGCAGUGAGGAAUAUUGGACAAUGGGUGAGAGCCUGAUCCAGCCAUCCCGCGUGAAGGACGACGGCCCUAUGGGUUGUAAACUUCUUUUGUAUAGGGAUAAACCUUUCCACGUGUGGAAAGUUGAAGGUACUAUACGAAUAAGCACCGGCUAACUCCGUGCCAGCCGCCGCGGUAA
Molecule: ribosomal RNA, 495 nt
Filed under: uncultured bacterium
Lineage: Bacteria
Description: partial 16S ribosomal RNA
Rfam family: Bacterial small subunit ribosomal RNA
Source: RNAcentral